RNAcentral lists this long non-coding RNA (864 nucleotides) under Sorghum bicolor (sorghum). RNAcentral's name for it is "long non-coding RNA (SBIC_LNC000510)". The record is from RNAcentral. Lineage: Eukaryota; Viridiplantae; Streptophyta; Magnoliopsida; Poales; Poaceae.
UAGUAUAAAAAGGGGGCGUCGGCGUAGUACUCGUUUCUACUAGUGUAUUUUUGGAUAUUAAGAAUUUAAUGAACCAUUGAUCUUUUGUUGAUAUACACACAUGGAUGAUAAUCAAACAAAACAAUGUACAUAUUUUUACUCAGUUAUUUUACAAUGAUGUAUGGAACCUUUUGUUUAAGAAUGCAUACUGUUAGAAGAUUAUAAAACCCAAUAAUAUAGCUUUCCUUUUUACAAACAAGAUAGUCUACAUGAUAAUAGCAUGGAUAGAUCAUUUUCGUACUUUGUAUUAAAAUCAUUAGCAUGCAAUAGAUCAAUCAACAUUUAUGAAUUUUUAAUUCUCUAUCAAAUGAAACCAAAUAUGGUGUAUAAGCUCAUUUUAGAUUGCCCCAUGUAACACCCUAAAUUUUGCAAGUCUUUAAAAUAGAAGAAUUUGAUUUAAUUUUGUGUUUUGUGCUCAUCAAAAUAUAGGAACAAUAAUAUCUUUCAUUAAAUUAAAAAUUAUCAUAGGAGUUAGCAAUGUGGUUGAGCAUGCAUGCCAUUGAGGUGUGCGGCUUUGUCAAAAAUUCUAAAUGAUUCAAAAUAUUUUGAAAUGAUGUGAAAAUAGCUUUGGAAUAAAAGAAAACAAAAAGAAAAAAAGGAAAAACCUCCCCGGCUCGCUAUUCUGGACCGAAGGCCCACCCGAUCCUUCCGAGCCCUCCAACUCGCGCCCUCCUCUUCAUUCCUUAUUGGCCCGAGUGGACACCCCUUCCCCUUUCUUCACGCCGCGGCCCACACCAGAGCAACCGGCCCAACCGGCUCCUCCUCCCUCCCCUCGGCCCAAGCUGGCCAGCGCUCGGCGCAGGCGCAGAUCCCCUCCCUCCCCCU